GAUGAACGCUGGCGGUAUGCUUAACACAUGCAAGUCGAACGGACUCUUCGGAGUUAGUGGCGGACGGGUGAGUAACGCGUGAGAAUCUGGCUUUGGGUUCGGGACAACCACUGGAAACGGUGGCUAAUACCGGAUGUGCCGAGAGGUAAAAGAGAAAUUGCCUGAAGAUGGGCUCGCGUCUGAUUAGCUAGUUGGUGAGGUAAAGGCUCACCAAGGCAGCGAUCAGUAGCUGGUCUGAGAGGAUGACCAGCCACACUGGGACUGAGACACGGCCCAGACUCCUACGGGAGGAGGCAGUGGGGAAUUUUCCGCAAUGGGCGAAAGCCUGACGGAGCAAUACCGCGUGAGGGAAGAAGGCUCUUGGGUUGUAAACCUCUUUUCUUAGGGAAGAACAAAAUGACGGUACCUAAGGAAUCAGCAUCGGCUAACUCCGUG
Molecule: ribosomal RNA, 435 nt
Filed under: uncultured bacterium
Lineage: Bacteria
Description: partial 16S ribosomal RNA
Rfam family: Bacterial small subunit ribosomal RNA
Source: RNAcentral